AGAGUUUGAUCCUGGCUCAGGAUGAACGCUGGCGGCGUGCCUAAUACAUGCAAGUCGAACGCACAGCGAAAGGUGCUUGCACCUUUCAAGUGAGUGGCGAACGGGUGAGUAACACGUGGAUAGCCUACCUCAAGGUUGGGGAUAACAUUUGGAAACAGAUGCUAAUACCGAAUAAAACUUCGUAUCGCAUGAUACAAGGUUAAAAGGCGCUACGGCGUCACCUAGAGAUGGAUCCGCGGUGCAUUAGUUAGUUGGUGGGGUAAAGGCCUACCAAGACAAUGAUGCAUAGCCGAGUUGAGAGACUGAUCGGCCACAUUGGGACUGAGACACGGCCCAAACUCCUACGGGAGGCUGCAGUAGGGAAUCUUCCACAAUGGGCGAAAGCCUGAUGGAGCAACGCCGCGUGUGUGAUGAAGGCUUUCGGGUCGUAAAGCACUGUUGUAUGGGAAGAACAGCUAGAGUAGGGAAUGACUUUAGUUUGACGGUACCAUACCAGAAAGGGACGGCUAAAUACGUGCCAGCAGCCGCGGUAAUACGUAUGUCCCGAGCGUUAUCAGGAUUUAUUGGGCGUAAAGCGAGCGCAGACGGUUGAUUAAGUCUGAUGUGAAAGCCCGGAGCUCAACUCCGGAAAGGCAUUGGAAACUGGUCAACUUGAGUGCAGUAGAGGUAAGUGGAACUCCAUGUGUAGCGGUGGAAUGCGUAGAUAUAUGGAAGAACACCAGCGGCGAAGGCGGCUUACUGGACUGUAACUGACGUUGAGGCUCGAAAGUGUGGGUAGCAAACAGGAUUAAAUACCCUGGUAGUCCACACCGUAAACGAUGAACACUAGGUGUUAGGAGGUUUCCGCCUCUUAGUGCCGAAGCUAAACGCAUUAAGUGUUCCGCCUGGGGAGUACGACCGCAAGGUUGAAACUCAAAGGAAUUGACGGGGACCCGCACAAGCGGUGGAGCAUGUGGUUUAAUUCGAAGCAACGCGAAGAACCUUACCAGGUCUUGACAUCCUUUGGAGCUUUUAGAGAUAGAAGUGUUCUCUUCGGAGACAAAGUGACAGGUGGUGCAUGGUCGUCGACAGCUCGUGUCGUGAGAUGUUGGGUUAAGUCCCGCAACGAGCGCAACCCUUAUUGUUAGUUGCCAGCAUUCAGAUGGGCACUCUAGCGAGACUGCCGGUGACAAACCGGAGGAAGGCGGGGACGACGUCAGAUCAUCAUGCCCCUUAUGACCUGGGCUACACACGUGCUACAAUGGCGUAUACAACGAGUUGCCAACCUGUGAAGGUGAGCUAAUCUCUUAAAGUACGUCUCAGUUCGGACUGCAGUCUGCAACUCGACUGCACGAAGUCGGAAUCGCUAGUAAUCGCGGAUCAGCACGCCGCGGUGAAUACGUUCCCGGGUCUUGCACUCACCGCCCGUCA
RNAcentral lists this ribosomal RNA (1410 nucleotides) under uncultured bacterium. Its description in RNAcentral is "bacterial SSU rRNA". It matches the Rfam family "Bacterial small subunit ribosomal RNA". The record is from RNAcentral.